RNAcentral lists this small RNA (297 nucleotides) under Kouleothrix aurantiaca. RNAcentral's name for it is "5' ureB small RNA". It matches the Rfam family "5' ureB small RNA". The record is from Rfam by way of RNAcentral. Lineage: Bacteria; Bacillati; Chloroflexota; Chloroflexia; Chloroflexales; Roseiflexaceae.
UCGUAGACCUGCUGCGGCGCGAUCAUGUGGAUGUGCGAGUCGAUUGCGCCAGCGGUGGCGAUCAGGUGCUCGCCGGCAAUCACUUCGGUGCCGGGGCCGAUCACCAUCUGCGGGUGCACGCCGUCCAUGCUGUCGGGGUUGCCAGCUUUGCCGAGCGCGACGAUCCGGCCAUUUUUUACGCCAAUAUCGGCUUUAACCACGCCCAGCACGGCGUCGAGCACAAUCGCGUUGGUGAUGACGAGAUCGAGUGAGCCGGCGGCGCUAGUGGCGCUGGCGCGCUGGGCCAUGCCGUCGCGA